This 1627-nucleotide unclassified non-coding RNA is filed under the name uncultured fungus. RNAcentral's name for it is "sequence contains 18S rRNA gene, ITS1, 5.8S rRNA gene, ITS2, 28S rRNA gene". The stretch from base 657 to 1627 matches the Rfam family "Eukaryotic large subunit ribosomal RNA", at positions 1 to 961 of the family's 3401-position model. Lineage: Eukaryota; Fungi. The record is from RNAcentral.
GGAAGGAUCAUUAUUGAAUAAAUGGUUGAUAGGCUGUUGCUGGCUUCUUUGGAGUAUGUGCACGCUUGUCAUUCUUAUAUUUCCACUUGUGCACUCUUUGUAGAUCCUGGAUGAAUAAUUAUCUGGUUUUCUUCCAAUAGAUUGAGGAUUGCCAAUUCUUUUAUUGAAAGAAUUGGCUUUACCUUGUGUAUCUAGGUUCUAUGUCACUCACAUACUCCUAUGAAUGAAUAGAGUGGAUUUAUUGGUCUAGUACCUAAAAUGUUGUAUACAACUUUCAGCAACGGAUCUCUUGGCUCUUGCAUCGAUGAAGAACGCAGCGAAAUGCGAUAAGUAAUGUGAAUUGCAGAAUUCAGUGAAUCAUCGAAUUUUUGAACGCAUCUUGCGCUCCUUGGUAUUCUGAGGAGCAUGCCUGUUUGAGUGUCAUUAAAUUCUCAACUACACUGACUUUUGUUAGUGCAGAUUGGACUUGGGGAAUUAUUUUGUUUUUGCAGGCUUUUGUCAACAAAAGUCAGCUUCCCUAAAAUUUAUUAGCAAGAGAGUUAUCUCAGUAGAACUGUCUACAGGUGUGAUAAUUUAUCUACGCCUUAGAUGUCUGCAUAGUUAAUCUGCUUCUAAUUUUAAUGUUCCACUUACAGAGGGGUAUUAAUUUGAUAUCUUGACCUCAAAUCAGGUAGGACUACCCGCUGAACUUAAGCAUAUCAAUAAGCGGAGGAAAAGAAACUAACAAGGAUUCCCCUAGUAACUGCGAGUGAAGCGGGAAAAGCUCAAAUUUAAAAUCUGGUGGCUCUGGUCAUCCGAGUUGUAAUCUAAAGAAGUGUUACCCGUGCUGGACCAUGUACAAGUCUCCUGGAAUGGAGCAUCACAGAGGGUGAGAAUCCCGUCUUUGACAUGGACUGCCAGUGCUUUUGUGGUAUGCUCUCAAAGAGUCGAGUUGUUUGGGAAUGCAGCUCAAAAUGGGUGGUAAAUGCCAUCUAAAGCUAAAUAUUGGCAAGAGACCGAUAGUGAACAAGUACCGUGAGGGAAAGAUGAAAAGAACUUUGGAAAGAGAGUUAAACAGUACGUGAAAUUGCUGAAAGGGAAACGCUUAAAGUCAGUCAUGUCGACUUGAAAUCAAUCCUGCUUUUGCUGGAUGUAUUUUCUUGUUAACAGGUCAGCAUCAAUUUUGACCAGUGGACAAAGUUGUUGGGAAUGUGGCAUCUUUGGAUGUGUUAUAGCCUGAUAAUUCAUACAUUGGUUGGAAUUGAGGAACUCAGCAUGCUGCAAGGCCGGGUUUCGACCACGUUCAUGCUUAGGAUGCUGGCAUAAUGGCUUUAAUCGACCCGUCUUGAAACACGGACCAAGGAGUCUAACAUGCCUGCGAGUGUUUGGGUGGAAAACCCAUGCGCGUAAUGAAAGUGAAAGUUUGAGAUCCCUUUGGGGAGCAUUGACACCCAGACCAGACCUUUUGUGAUGGAUCUGCGGUAGAGCAUGUAUGUUGGGACCCGAAAGAUGGUGAACUAUGCCUGAAUAGGGUGAAGCCAGAGGAAACUCUGGUGGAGGCUCGUAGCGAUUCUGACGUGCAAAUCGAUCGUCAAAUUUGGGUAUAGGGGCGAAAGACUAAUCGAACCAUCUAGUAGCUGGUUCCUGC